GGCCCUUUAGCUCAGUGGUUAGAGCUGGCGACUCAUAAUCCACGGUCACCGGUUCAAGUCCGGUAGGGGCCACCA
Molecule: transfer RNA, 75 nt
Filed under: Escherichia coli
Lineage: Bacteria; Pseudomonadati; Pseudomonadota; Gammaproteobacteria; Enterobacterales; Enterobacteriaceae
Description: tRNA-Ile
Rfam family: tRNA
About the family: Transfer RNA (tRNA) molecules are approximately 80 nucleotides in length. Their secondary structure includes four short double-helical elements and three loops (D, anti-codon, and T loops).
Source: RNAcentral